CCAGUUCUCAGGAACAGGAUGG
This 22-nucleotide non-coding RNA is filed under the name Arabidopsis thaliana (thale cress). Lineage: Eukaryota; Viridiplantae; Streptophyta; Magnoliopsida; Brassicales; Brassicaceae. The record is from RNAcentral.